GAUGAACGCUGGCGGCGUGCCUAAUACAUGCAAGUCGAGCGAACAGAUGAGGAGCUUGCUCCUCUGACGUUAGCGGCGGACGGGUGAGUAACACGUGGAUAACCUACCUAUAAGACUGGGAUAACUUCGGGAAACCGGAGCUAAUACCGGAUAAUAUAUUGAACCGCAUGGUUCAAUAGUGAAAGACGGUUUUGCUGUCACUUAUAGAUGGAUCCGCGCCGCAUUAGCUAGUUGGUAAGGUAACGGCUUACCAAGGCAACGAUGCGUAGCCGACCUGAGAGGGUGAUCGGCCACACUGGAACUGAGACACGGUCCAGACUCCUACGGGAGGCAGCAGUAGGGAAUCUUCCGCAAUGGGCGAAAGCCUGACGGAGCAACGCCGCGUGAGUGAUGAAAGUCUUCGGAUCGUAAAACUCUUUUAUUAGGGAAGAACAAAUGUGUAAGUAACUAUGCACGUCUUGACGGUACCUAAUCAGAAAGCCACGGCUAACUACGUG
This 497-nucleotide ribosomal RNA is filed under the name uncultured bacterium. Its description in RNAcentral is "partial 16S ribosomal RNA". It matches the Rfam family "Bacterial small subunit ribosomal RNA", at positions 28 to 507 of the family's 1533-position model. The record is from RNAcentral.